CCUACGGGAGGCAGCAGUGAGGAAUAUUGGUCAAUGGACGAGAGUCUGAACCAGCCAAGUAGCGUGAAGGAUGACUGCCCUAUGGGUUGUAAACUUCUUUUAUAUGGGAAUAAAAUGUUCCACGUGUGGGUUUUUGUAUGUACCAUAUGAAUAAGGAUCGGCUAACUCCGUGCCAGCAGCCGCGGUAAUACGGAGGAUCCGAGCGUUAUCCGGAUUUAUUGGGUUUAAAGGGAGCGUAGGUGGAUUGUUAAGUCAGUUGUGAAGGUUUGCGGCUCAACCGUAAAAUUGCAGUUGAAACUGGCAGUCUUGAGUACAGUAGAGGUGGGCGGAAUUCGUGGUGUAGCGGUGAAAUGCUUAGAUAUCACGAAGAACUCCGAUUGCGAAGGCAGAUCACUGGACUGCAACUGACACUGAGGCUCGAAAGUGUGGGUAUCAAACAGGAUUAGAUACCCUUGUAGUC
RNAcentral lists this ribosomal RNA (460 nucleotides) under uncultured bacterium. RNAcentral's name for it is "partial 16S ribosomal RNA". It matches the Rfam family "Bacterial small subunit ribosomal RNA", at positions 338 to 795 of the family's 1533-position model. The record is from RNAcentral.